This 29-nucleotide small RNA is filed under the name Bombyx mori (domestic silkworm). RNAcentral's name for it is "piRNA piR-bmo-1915541". Lineage: Eukaryota; Metazoa; Arthropoda; Insecta; Lepidoptera; Bombycidae. The record is from RNAcentral.
UGCAAGCGGCUAGCUGCCGCGCUCGGGAU